UGGGUGAAAAUUUGUAAGUCGCUCUGGAUAACAGCGUCUGCUAAAUGACUUAAA
Salmo salar (Atlantic salmon) is the source of this 54-nucleotide non-coding RNA. The record is from Rfam. Lineage: Eukaryota; Metazoa; Chordata; Actinopteri; Salmoniformes; Salmonidae.